Long non-coding RNA from Athalia rosae (coleseed sawfly), 529 nucleotides. RefSeq lists it as uncharacterized. NCBI's taxonomy places the organism in Eukaryota, Metazoa, Arthropoda, Insecta, Hymenoptera, Athaliidae. The record is from RefSeq and is a predicted model, not a curated record. The transcript has 3 exons.
AGAGGGGUGGCGUGUAAUAAUAAAUGGUGGUAGCCUAAUUGGUGGUAGCACUGCACUCGAGAGAUUUCGGAUCACGCCGCCGACGCAGUGCGACAACCAACCGCUUUCAUCAGUCUUUCACGAACAAUCAUCAUGGCCGAUAACGAACGUAUACGAAGGCGUCGGCGCAGCAAGGGGGAGCGCCGUUCGUGUGCAAAGGUGGCGGUCGGGGUGGCCUACCCCCGCAUCAACCGCCCGCGGAACAUCAUCCUGGUUGACAUAACCGCCGAGUUGGAGGCGCUGAGAGCUACGUGAUAUCGCGGCAGCCACCGCAGCCCGAUACCGACACGGGCGGCGGCGGAGAAGAAAAGAAAAUGAAGAAUGGAAGGGCGAAAGGGCGGAGAAAUGAACAAAAAAGAAAAAUAACCGCCGCCGCCCAGGGGGCGACCGGGCACCUGCAGUCUAUCACUACUACCACAGAUAGUGAUAUUGCUUGAACGGGGGCCGGCGGCGCUGCCCCCAAAAGAUAAUAAAUAUCUUUUAAAAUAUA